This is a long non-coding RNA of Balaenoptera acutorostrata (minke whale), 513 nucleotides long. RefSeq lists it as uncharacterized. Lineage: Eukaryota; Metazoa; Chordata; Mammalia; Artiodactyla; Balaenopteridae. The record is from RefSeq and is a predicted model, not a curated record. The transcript is spliced from 4 exons.
CCGGGACGCGCGCGCAGCCGUCUCGGCUGUUUUGUGGUGAGAAGGAAACAUUUAUUACAGUACCGUUUCUCAUGGAACAAGAACAUGUAGUUUCAUGGUGCACGGCUGCCAGAUGUUUCCCAGGUUUCAAUGUCCCAGAUAGAUAAAGGAAAAUUCGGCAAGGUCAGAAGAGAGAAGAACAGAUUUAUCACGAAAUAGGAAUGGUAACUGUGUCCCAAGUGUACAGAAGGGGAAGAAUUGAAGUCUUUCUGACAUGAAGCAAAGACACACAACAAUAAAUGAAGAUUUCUAAACCUCCAGUGACAUCAAGAAACCAAUCUGUUCCGGAUGAAAAUGAGAGAAGUUAUCUGUGUAGUGAAAAGUGUUUACAUCGGAAUGUAGACUCGACAUAUGAAGCUGCACCAGCCAUCCUACAACCACAAAGACAAAAGCCUGUGCACUAACAAUCAUGGAGCAGAAAGAGAUAAAGAGCUGGGUCUUUGAUGAUAUCAUCUGUCUCGGAUUGCCUGCCUU